Molecule: ribosomal RNA, 498 nt
Filed under: Rahnella aquatilis
Lineage: Bacteria; Pseudomonadati; Pseudomonadota; Gammaproteobacteria; Enterobacterales; Yersiniaceae
Description: bacterial SSU rRNA
Rfam family: Bacterial small subunit ribosomal RNA
Source: RNAcentral
GGCUCAGAUUGAACGCUGGCGGCAGGCCUAACACAUGCAAGUCGAGCGGCAGCGGAAAGUAGCUUGCUACUUUGCCGGCGAGCGGCGGACGGGUGAGUAAUGUCUGGGAAACUGCCUGAUGGAGGGGGAUAACUACUGGAAACGGUGGCUAAUACCGCAUAACGUCGCAAGACCAAAGUGGGGGACCUUCGGGCCUCACGCCAUCGGAUGUGCCCAGAUGGGAUUAGCUAGUAGGUGGGGUAAUGGCUCACCUAGGCGACGAUCCCUAGCUGGUCUGAGAGGAUGACCAGCCACACUGGAACUGAGACACGGUCCAGACUCCUACGGGAGGCAGCAGUGGGGAAUAUUGCACAAUGGGCGCAAGCCUGAUGCAGCCAUGCCGCGUGUGUGAAGAAGGCCUUCGGGUUGUAAAGCACUUUCAGCGAGGAGGAAGGCAUCAUACUUAAUACGUGUGGUGAUUGACGUUACUCGCAGAAGAAGCACCGGCUAACUCCGUGC